UCCGGUGAAGUGUUCGGAUUGCGCCGACGUGGGCGGUUCGCUGCUCGCGACGUUGUGAGAAGUCCACUGAACCUUAUCAUUUAGAGGAAGGAGAAGUCGUAACAAGGUUUCCGUAGGUGAACCUGCGGAAGGAUCAUUG
Molecule: ribosomal RNA, 139 nt
Filed under: Canavalia bonariensis
Lineage: Eukaryota; Viridiplantae; Streptophyta; Magnoliopsida; Fabales; Fabaceae
Description: partial 18S rRNA ribosomal
Rfam family: Eukaryotic small subunit ribosomal RNA
Source: RNAcentral